CAGGUCCGGGAGCAGUACAGGAAGUGGUUCAGAGGGGUCAGGAAAGCCAAAGCCGAGCCUGAGAAUUACACGCUCUCAAGCAGGACCAUGUCUGAUGCCUCCAAGCACAGUGCGGAGAAUUAUAAUGAACAGCUAACCCUGGUGAACUUGUCUCUUAGAAAGUGAAGAAAACACUGAAUCGUCCUCUUUGGGGCAAAGAGUAUUAAAAAUAACUCUCCUUGGCACCACUGUGGGAGAAAAGUAUGCGGGAAACGUGUGUCAUUCACCUGCUGGCGAAUUUGGGUUUUCUGGUACAUACAAGCAUUCUCAUCAUCUCCUUCCCAGUAUAAUCAGGAGCUCUAACCCAAUACCCCAGUAGAAACCUCUUUUUCCAAAAAGAUUCUUCCUCAGGUUGAUGAUACAUAACAAGGAAAACCAGCCUCAAAGGACUUCCCUAAAAUAACACAGGAGAGGAAAGUAAUAUUCAAAUACCUGCCUGUUGAAUAAACAACUAAUGCCAGUUGCCCAAGACUUGCCUGAUUUUAGAGCUGACAGUAUUUCUCCCCAGGAAACAUUUUGGUUACAGGCAAAGUAGACCAGUUGGUCUCCAUUCAUACAUACAUGCCUCAACUUAACUCACUCUCCAUUCCUGAAGCCCUACUGAUUAAUUCCUUCCAAACAUGUGCACUGGAUCAAGGAGAUCCAGUUCCCGAGUUCACAGAGUUUCAAUGUGGGGAAAAAAAAGUUUCAUCCGAUGGAGUAAAAUCAGAACUAUGAGACUCGAGUCUCUGCAUCUUUACAUUUUAUAAGUUGAGCUGUGGGGAAAGGUGUAUAUUGCUACAGCACAUUUAUACGUAACAUAAUAUUUCAUCCUUACCAUUCAUCUAGGCAAGAUCUAAACCCAGAGUGGUUCCCCCUCCAAGACAUUCCCUGGAGGCUCCCACUGACCAAUUUUGUAACAAUUUGAACAUCAAAUGACUGUACAUGAGUAUAAUAUUUUAGAUAAACAUAUUCAUGAGUCCAUAGUGAUACUUAGAAGCUCAGUUAAUAGAUGCAGAAAAUUCGAUAGAAUUAGAAGAGCAUGAUUCUUUCAAUAUCCCAUAAAUAGUCACUAAAAGCAUUGAGUGAAAGGGUGUUGGAGAACAGGCUGGGACCAGAGCACCAAAGAAUCACCUCUUGGAUCACCGAUUAAUUACAAGGGCCAAAGUGCACAUUUGCAACGUGGAGAUCUGACAGCCACCAUCUGAAUUAAUGCCCAUACUUAAUAUCAUCGAUGGUGGGCAAACUGACAUUAGGAAUAUCAGGAGAUACAUACAUCCCAUUGUUGAAGUUACAACAUCCCAUUUUUAGUACAUAAAAAAUUGAAAUCUAACCCAGCCUUUAGAGAGAGGGUAACCAAACUAUAGCAUACAGGCCAAAUCCAGGGAACUUCCUGUUUUUGUUAAUAAAGUUUUAUUGGAACAUUGA
This is a long non-coding RNA of Herpailurus yagouaroundi (jaguarundi), 1446 nucleotides long. RefSeq lists it as uncharacterized. The transcript has 2 exons. Lineage: Eukaryota; Metazoa; Chordata; Mammalia; Carnivora; Felidae. The record is from RefSeq and is a predicted model, not a curated record.